GGUUAAGUGACUAAGCGUACACGGUGGAUGCCUUGGCAGUCAGAGGCGAUGAAGGACGUAGUAACUUGCGAUAAGCUCAGAUUAGGCAGUAACAGCCACUUGAGUCUGAGAUUUCCGAAUGGGGAAACCCAACUGCAUAAGCAGUUACUGUUAACUGAAUACAUAGGUUAACAGAGCGAACCGGGGGAACUGAAACAUCUAAGUACCCCGAGGAGAAGAAAUCAACCGAGAUUCCGAUAGUAGCGGCGAGCGAAAUUGGAUUAGCCCUUAAGCUUUACAUGCGUCAGGUGAAGGUUCUGGAAAGGACCGCGAAACAGGGUGAUAGCCCCGUAGCCGACAGCGCAUGUUCAGUGAAAUCGAGUAGGGCGGGACACGUGUUAUCCUGUCUGAAUAUGGGGGGACCAUCCUCCAAGGCUAAAUACUCCUGACUGACCGAUAGUGAACCAGUACCGUGAGGGAAAGGCGAAAAGAACCCCUGUGAGGGGAGUGAAAUAGAACCUGAAACCGUGUACGUACAAGCAGUAGGAGCCUCUUCGUGGGGUGACUGCGUACCUUUUGUAUAAUGGGUCAGCGACUUAUAUUCAGUGGCAAGGUUAACCAUUUAGGGGAGCCGUAGGGAAACCGAGUCUUAACUGGGCGUUCAGUCUCUGGAUAUAGACCCGAAACCGGGUGAUCUAGCCAUGGGCAGGUUGAAGGUUGAGUAACAUCAACUGGAGGACCGAACCGACUAAUGUUGAAAAAUUAGCGGAUGACUUGUGGCUAGGGGUGAAAGGCCAAUCAAACUCGGAGAUAGCUGGUUCUCCCCGAAAGCUAUUUAGGUAGCGCCUCGGACGAAUACUACUGGGGGUAGAGCACUGUUAAGGCUAGGGGGUCAUCCCGACUUACCAACCCUUUGCAAACUCCGAAUACCAGUAAGUACUAUCCGGGAGACACACGGCGGGUGCUAACGUCCGUCGUGGAGAGGGAAACAACCCAGACCGCCAGCUAAGGUCCCAAAUUACAGCUAAGUGGGAAACGAUGUGGGAAGGCUCAGACAGCUAGGAUGUUGGCUUAGAAGCAGCCAUCAUUUAAAGAAAGCGUAAUAGCUCACUAGUCGAGUCGGCCUGCGCGGAAGAUGUAACGGGGCUAAGCUGUAAACCGAAGCUGCGGCAAUGCGAUUUAUCGUAUUGGGUAGGGGAGCGUUCUGUAAGCCGUUGAAGGUGUGUUGUAAAGCAUGCUGGAGGUAUCAGAAGUGCGAAUGCUGACAUGAGUAACGACAAGGGGGGUGAAAAACCUCCCCGCCGGAAGACCAAGGGUUCCUGUCCAACGUUAAUCGGGGCAGGGUAAGUCGACCCCUAAGGCGAGGCCGAAAGGCGUAGUCGAUGGGAAACGGGUUAAUAUUCCCGUACUUCUUACAAUUGCGAUGGGGGGACGGAGAAGGCUAGGUGGGCCUGGCGACGGUUGUCCAGGUUCAAGUGCGUAGGCUUGAGG
Molecule: ribosomal RNA, 1470 nt
Filed under: Vibrio fluvialis
Lineage: Bacteria; Pseudomonadati; Pseudomonadota; Gammaproteobacteria; Vibrionales; Vibrionaceae
Description: partial 23S ribosomal RNA
Rfam family: Bacterial large subunit ribosomal RNA
Source: RNAcentral